RNAcentral lists this ribosomal RNA (253 nucleotides) under uncultured bacterium. RNAcentral describes it as "partial 16S ribosomal RNA". It matches the Rfam family "Bacterial small subunit ribosomal RNA", at positions 524 to 776 of the family's 1533-position model. The record is from RNAcentral.
UACGGGGGGGGUAAGCGUUGUUCGGAAUCACUGGGCGUAAAGGGCUCGUAGGCGGCCAACUAAGUCAUACGUGAAAUCCCUCAGCUUAACUGGGGAACUGCGUGUGAUACUGGAUGGCUUGGAUUUGGGAGAGGGAUGCGGAAUUCCAGGUGUAGCGGUGAAAUGCGUAGAUAUCUGGAGGAGCACCGGUGGCGAAGGCGGCAUCCUGGACCAAUAUUGACGCUGAGGAGCGAAAGCCAGGGGAGCAAACGGG